RNAcentral lists this ribosomal RNA (468 nucleotides) under uncultured bacterium. RNAcentral's name for it is "partial 16S ribosomal RNA". It matches the Rfam family "Bacterial small subunit ribosomal RNA", at positions 28 to 507 of the family's 1533-position model. The record is from RNAcentral.
GAUGAACGCUGGCGGCGUGCUUAACACAUGCAAGUCGAACGGUGAAGGCGGAGCUUGCUCUGCUGGAUCAGUGGCGAACGGGUGAGUAACACGUGAGCAAUCUGCCCCUGACUCUGGGAUAAGCGCUGGAAACGGCGUCAAAUACUGGAUACGAGCUGCGAAGGCAUCUUCAGCAGCUGGAAAGAAUUUCGGUCAGGGAUGAGCUCGCGGCCUAUCAGCUUGUUGGUGAGGUAAUGGCUCACCAAGGCGUCGACGGGUAGCCGGCCUGAGAGGGUGACCGGCCACACUGGGACUGAGACACGGCCCAGACUCCUACGGGAGGCAGCAGUGGGGAAUAUUGCACAAUGGGCGAAAGCCUGAUGCAGCAACGCCGCGUGAGGGACGACGGCCUUCGGGUUGUAAACCUCUUUUAGCAGGGAAGAAGCGAAAGUGACGGUACCUGCAGAAAAAGCGCCGGCUAACUACGUG